UGCCAGCAGCCGCGGUAAUACGGAGGGGGCAAGCGUUGUUCGGAAUUACUGGGCGUAAAGGGCGUGUAGGCGGCGAUUUUAGUCAGGCGUGAAAGCCCGGGGCUCAACCUCGGAAUAGCGCUUGAUACUGGAUCGCUUGAGACCGGAAGAGGGUAGUGGAAUUCCCAGUGUAGAGGUGAAAUUCGUAGAUAUUGGGAAGAACACCAGUGGCGAAGGCGACUUCCUGGGCCAAUACUGACGCUGAGGUGCGAAAGUGUGGGUAGCGAACAGGAUUAGAUA
This 279-nucleotide ribosomal RNA is filed under the name uncultured bacterium. Its description in RNAcentral is "partial 16S ribosomal RNA". It matches the Rfam family "Bacterial small subunit ribosomal RNA", at positions 506 to 784 of the family's 1533-position model. The record is from RNAcentral.